RNAcentral lists this unclassified non-coding RNA (75 nucleotides) under synthetic construct. The record is from RNAcentral.
CUGCCCUCAUCCGUCUCGCUUAUUCGGGGAGCGGACGAUGACCCUAGUAGAGGGGGCUGCGGCUUAGGAGGGCAG